Salvia splendens (bonfire salvia) is the source of this 662-nucleotide long non-coding RNA. RefSeq lists it as uncharacterized. Lineage: Eukaryota; Viridiplantae; Streptophyta; Magnoliopsida; Lamiales; Lamiaceae. The transcript is spliced from 2 exons. The record is from RefSeq and is a predicted model, not a curated record.
UCUCUCCCACACAACGAUAUUCACAAAUUGAGAGAACCCUAAUUCACUAAAUCCCGCCGCCUCCACCUGUACACUGUGAAUCUUCAAUUUCCAGCCACCACUACACCGUGAAUUGUGAUAUUUACCUCUAAUUUCAGGAAUUCCAAACGCCUACAACAAUUAAACGGCGAAACCACCCACAAGUUUAGGUGAAUGUUCUAGCUACGGACAAAUCACCCGAAAAGCAAAAGUGAAUGUUCUAGAGCUGAAAUGAAGUACAAAAGAUGACACCACAUGUUGUGACCUUUAUGCAAUGCGCCAUAUGGGAACGAAGGUCACCGACUGGAAAUGUGAUCAUACAAACAAACAAUCAAAGUCUUUGCAGCUUCUUCGUGCCAAAUAUUGUACAUCAAUGUUGUAUAACAACGACAAUAGGGUCUUUGGCUGUGUGUUGAGAAUUGCCUCACAUCAGUUCGAGUAGGCAAAAAAGAGAGGACCGAUAGAUGUGGAGAAUAUGGUUGCGGAGUACAAGGAACCAUAAACAAUGAAUGAAUUCUUGGCUUUUUUGAACACGAAUGAAAUCUUGGCUGUGUGAAUGAACUCAGUAUUGAAACAUGUAGUUUUGUAGUUUUGUUUUGGUGUAGACAAUGUGAGUGACUUAAUUUGAUUGACUUUUUUUUGUA